UACGUAGGGUGCGAGCGUUGUCCGGAUUUAUUGGGCGUAAAGAGCUCGUAGGCGGCUUGUCGCGUCAACUGUGAAAACCCGUGGCUCAACCAUGUGGUCUGCAGUCGAUACGGGCAGGCUAGAAUUCGGUAGGGGAGACUGGAAUUCCUGGUGUAGCGGUGAAAUGCGCAGAUAUCAGGAGGAACACCGGUGGCGAAGGCGGGUCUCUGGGCCGAUAUUGACGCUGAGGAGCGAAAGCGUGGGGAGCGAACAGG
This 254-nucleotide ribosomal RNA is filed under the name uncultured bacterium. RNAcentral's name for it is "partial 16S ribosomal RNA". It matches the Rfam family "Bacterial small subunit ribosomal RNA", at positions 524 to 776 of the family's 1533-position model. The record is from RNAcentral.